Molecule: ribosomal RNA, 253 nt
Filed under: uncultured bacterium
Lineage: Bacteria
Description: partial 16S ribosomal RNA
Rfam family: Bacterial small subunit ribosomal RNA
Source: RNAcentral
UACGUAGGCAGCAAGCGUUGUUCGGAGUUACUGGGCGUAAAGGGCGCGUAGGCGGUGCUCUAAGUCGGAUGUGAAAACUCUGGGCUCAACCCAGAGCCUGCAUCCGAAACUGGAGUGCUAGAGUUCUGGAGGGGGUAGCGGAAUUCCUGGUGUAGCGGUGAAAUGCGUAGAUAUCAGGAGGAACACCGGUGGCGAAGGCGGGUCUCUGGGCAGUAACUGACGCUGAGGAGCGAAAGCGUGGGGAGCGAACAGG